RNAcentral lists this ribosomal RNA (253 nucleotides) under uncultured bacterium. Its description in RNAcentral is "partial 16S ribosomal RNA". It matches the Rfam family "Bacterial small subunit ribosomal RNA", at positions 524 to 776 of the family's 1533-position model. The record is from RNAcentral.
UACGAAGGGGGCUAGCGUUGCUCGGAAUCACUGGGCGUAAAGCGCACGUAGGCGGACUCUUAAGUCGGUGGUGAAAUCCUGGAGCUCAACUCCAGAACUGCCUUCGAUACUGAGAGUCUCGAGUCCGGGAGAGGUGAGUGGAACUGCGAGUGUAGAGGUGAAAUUCGUAGAUAUUCGCAAGAACACCAGUGGCGAAGGCGGCUCACUGGCCCGAUACUGACGCUGCGGCACGAAAGCGUGGGGAGCAAACAGG